Molecule: ribosomal RNA, 1173 nt
Filed under: Listeria monocytogenes
Lineage: Bacteria; Bacillati; Bacillota; Bacilli; Caryophanales; Listeriaceae
Description: partial 23S ribosomal RNA
Rfam family: Bacterial large subunit ribosomal RNA
Source: RNAcentral
CAAAGACGGUAACAGCCCGGUAGUUGAAAUGGCUUUCCCUCCAGAGUGGAUCCUGAGUACGGCGGAACACGUGAAAUUCCGUCGGAAUCCGGGAGGACCAUCUCCCAAGGCUAAAUACUCCCUAGUGACCGAUAGUGAACCAGUACCGUGAGGGAAAGGUGAAAAGCACCCCGGAAGGGGAGUGAAACAGUUCCUGAAACCGUGUGCCUACAAGUAGUUAGAGCCCGUUAAUGGGUGAUAGCGUGCCUUUUGUAGAAUGAACCGGCGAGUUACGAUUUGUUGCAAGGUUAAGCGGAAAAAGCGGAGCCGUAGCGAAAGCGAGUCUGAAUAGGGCGCAUAAGUAACAGGUCGUAGACCCGAAACCAGGUGAUCUACCCAUGUCCAGGAUGAAGGUAAGGUAAUACUUACUGGAGGUCCGAACCCACGCACGUUGAAAAGUGCGGGGAUGAGGUGUGGGUAGCGGAGAAAUUCCAAUCGAACUUGGAGAUAGCUGGUUCUCUCCGAAAUAGCUUUAGGGCUAGCCUCGAGGUAAAGAGUCAUGGAGGUAGAGCACUGUUUGGACUAGGGGCCCUUCUCGGGUUACCGAAUUCAGAUAAACUCCGAAUGCCAUGUACUUAUACUCGGGAGUCAGACUGCGAGUGAUAAGAUCCGUAGUCGAAAGGGAAACAGCCCAGACCACCAGUUAAGGUCCCCAAAUAUAUGUUAAGUGGAAAAGGAUGUGGGGUUGCUUAGACAACCAGGAUGUUGGCUUAGAAGCAGCCACCAUUGAAAGAGUGCGUAAUAGCUCACUGGUCGAGUGACCCCGCGCCGAAAAUGUACCGGGGCUAAACAUAUUACCGAAACUGUGGAUGAACCUCUUUAGAGGUUCGUGGUAGGAGAGCGUUCUAAGGGCGGUGAAGUCAGACCGGAAGGACUGGUGGAGCGCUUAGAAGUGAGAAUGCCGGUAUGAGUAGCGAAAGAAGGGUGAGAAUCCCUUCCACCGAAUAUCUAAGGUUUCCUGAGGAAGGCUCGUCCGCUCAGGGUUAGUCGGGACCUAAGCCGAGGCCGAUAGGCGUAGGCGAUGGACAACAGGUAGAGAUUCCUGUACCAGUGCUAAUUGUUUAACCGAUGGGGUGACACAGAAGGAUAGGGAAUCGCACGAAUGGAAAUGUGCGUCCAAGCAGUGAGUGUGAG